This 774-nucleotide ribosomal RNA is filed under the name uncultured Neocallimastigales. Its description in RNAcentral is "partial large subunit ribosomal RNA". It matches the Rfam family "Eukaryotic large subunit ribosomal RNA", at positions 18 to 643 of the family's 3401-position model. Lineage: Eukaryota; Fungi; Neocallimastigomycota; Neocallimastigomycetes; Neocallimastigales. The record is from RNAcentral.
UCAGACGAUGCGUCAUGCAUAUCAAUAAGCGGAGGAAAAGAAACUAACAAGGAUUCCCCUAGUAACGGCGAGUGAAGCGGGAAGAGCUCAAAUUUGAAAUCUUAAAGGGUUUCCCUUUACGAAUUGUAGUUUAAAGAAGUGUUUUCUGUUGAGGUUUUGGUAAAAGUUCUUUGGAAUAGGACAUCAUAGAGGGUGAGAAUCCCGUAUUUGACCUUUACUUUCAACUUUGUGAUACACUUUCAAAGAGUCGGAUUGUUUGGGAAUGCAGUCCAAAAUGGGUGGUAAAUUUCAUCUAAAGCUAAAUAUUGGCGAGAGACCGAUAGCGAACAAGUACCGUGAGGGAAAGAUGAAAAGAACUUUGAAGAGAGAGUUAAACAGUACGUGAAAUUGUCAAAAGGGAAGCGUUUGACACCAGUGUUGUUUUUCUGAAAAUCAAUUAAAGAACUGUUUAUGCUAAGCUGUUUAGACUUUAUCAGCUAUCUGUUUAGUUUUGAGCUUUUCUUUAAUGCACUUUUCAGUUAACAAGUCAACAUCAAUUUCUUUUGCUGUAAAAAAGCUUGAGGAAGGUGGCUUGAGAUUCGUCUUAAGUGUUUAUAGCCUCUUGCCUAUGCAGUCGGAGAGAUUGAGGUCUGCAGCGUAGAUCCUUCGGGGCUAAAUGCAUUUGUGCUAAGUUAUAGCAUUUCAUAGACAACUUGUUGACUAUGAUUUGUCUUGUAGCUUACUCGCUUAUGUUAUUUUACCUACGCUUAGGAUGUUGACACACGCGCGUGCUCG